GACGAACGCUGGCGGCGUGCUUAACACAUGCAAGUCGAACGGGAGUAUUGAAGAAGCUUGCUUUAGAGAUACUUUAGUGGCGGACGGGUGAGUAACGCGUGAGGAGCUGUCCUAUGCAGGGGGACAACAGCUGGAAACGGCUGCUAAUACCCCAUAAGCCGAGAGGUAAAAGGAUCAAUCCGGCAGAGGAGGUACUCGCGUCCUAUCAGCUAGUAGGUGAGGUAACGGCUCACCUAGGCGAAGACGGGUAGCCGGCCUGAGAGGGCGAACGGCCACACUGGAACUGAGAUACGGUCCAGACUCCUACGGGAGGCAGCAGUGGGGAAUAUUGGGCAAUGGGCGAAAGCCUGACCCAGCCAUGCCGCGUGAAGGAAGACGGCCUUAUGGGUUGUAAACUUCUUUACUACGCGAAUAGAGGUUAGUACGAGAUACUAAUAGGAAGGUAGUGUAGUAAAAAGCACCGGCUAACUCCGUG
This 475-nucleotide ribosomal RNA is filed under the name uncultured bacterium. Its description in RNAcentral is "bacterial SSU rRNA". It matches the Rfam family "Bacterial small subunit ribosomal RNA", at positions 28 to 507 of the family's 1533-position model. The record is from RNAcentral.